RNAcentral lists this ribosomal RNA (915 nucleotides) under uncultured Methanosaeta sp. Its description in RNAcentral is "bacterial SSU rRNA". It matches the Rfam family "Archaeal small subunit ribosomal RNA", at positions 1 to 922 of the family's 1478-position model. The record is from RNAcentral. Lineage: Archaea; Methanobacteriati; Methanobacteriota; Methanomicrobia; Methanotrichales; Methanotrichaceae.
UUCCGGUUGAUCCUGCCGGAGGUUACUGCUAUCGAGGUUCGACUAAGCCAUGCGAGUCGAAUGUAGCAAUACAUGGCGAACUGCUCAGUAACACGUGGACAACCUGCCCUUAGGACGGGGAUAAACCCGGGAAACUGGGUAUAAUACCCGAUAGGUCUCGAUUGCUGGAAUGCAUCGAGAUUUAAAGCUCCGGCGCCUAAGGAUGGGUCUGCGGCCUAUCAGGUAGUAGUGGGUGUAGCGUACCUACUAGCCUACGACGGGUACGGGUUGUGAGAGCAAGAGCCCGGAGAUGGAUUCUGAGACACGAAUCCAGGCCCUACGGGGUGCAGCAGGCGCGAAAACUUUACAAUGCUGGCAACAGCGAUAAGGGAACCUCGAGUGCCAGGUUACAAAUCUGGCUGUCGAGAUGCCUAAAAAGCAUUUCAUAGCAAGGGCCGGGCAAGACCGGUGCCAGCCGCCGCGGUAACACCGGCGGCUCGAGUGGUAACCGUUAUUAUUGGGUCUAAAGGGUCUGUAGCCGGCCGGAUAAGUCUCUUGAGAAAUCUGGCGGCUUAACUGUCAGGCUUUCAGGAGAUACUGUCUGGCUCGAGGCCGGGAGAGGUGAGAGGUACUUCAGGGGUAGGGGUGAAAUCUUGUAAUCCUUGAAGGACCACCAGUGGCGAAGGCGUCUCACCAGAACGGACCUGACGGCAAGGGACGAAAGCUAGGGGCACGAACCGGAUUAGAUACCCGGGUAGUCCUAGCCGUAAACGAUACUCGCUAGGUGUCGGCCACGGUGCGACCGUUGUCGGUGCCGUAGGGAAGCCGUGAAGCGAGCCACCUGGGAAGUACGGCCGCAAGGCUGAAACUUAAAGGAAUUGGCGGGGGAGCACCACAACGGGUGGAGCUUGCGGUUUAAUUGGAUUCAACGCCGGG